RNAcentral lists this ribosomal RNA (492 nucleotides) under uncultured bacterium. RNAcentral's name for it is "partial 16S ribosomal RNA". It matches the Rfam family "Bacterial small subunit ribosomal RNA", at positions 29 to 507 of the family's 1533-position model. The record is from RNAcentral.
AGUGAACGCUGGCGGUAGGCCUAACACAUGCAAGUCGAACGGCAGCACAGUAAGAGCUUGCUCUUACGGGUGGCGAGUGGCGGACGGGUGAGGUAUACAUCGGAAUCUACUUUUUCGUGGGGGAUAACGUAGGGAAACUUACGCUAAUACCGCAUACGACCUACGGGUGAAAGCAGGGGAUAUUCGGACCUUGCGCGAUUGAAUGAGCCGAUGUCGGAUUAGCUAGUUGGCGGGGGAAAGGCCCACCAAGGCGACGAUCCGUAGCCGGUCUGAGAGGAUGGUCCGCCACACUGGAACUGAGGCACAGUCCAGACUCCUACGGGAGGCAGCAGUGGGGAAUAUUGGACAAUGGGGGCAAGCCUGAUACAGCCAUACCGCGUGAGUGAAGAAGGCCUUCGGGUUGUAAAGCCCUUUUGUUGGGAAAGAAAAGCAGUAGGUUAAUACCCCGCUGUUCUGACGGUACCCAAAGAAUAAGCACCGGCUAACUUCGUG